CCUAUUUUAGACGACUGAUCCCUGGGCGAGUCAAGAUCAAACUCAUAAACCCUGAAGAAAAUGAGAGGAAGUGGUAUGGAGAAGAGGUAUAUUUCGGUUUGUGCGUGAAUCUGACGCCUAGAUCUUGCUCUUGCUGUUGCAUAUGUGGUUCGUUAGAUUCACGCACAAACCCGUAAUAUGCCUUUUCGUUGUUUUCGCCCCUACAAUCGGAUUUGCUUCUGUUCAUCGGGUUAGGUCAGAUCCCAAACUGUAUCCGCUUUUCGAAUUGAAUUCUGCUUGUUGUAGUUUGCUUGAUAAUUGACAAAUAUGUUUCCAGUUUUGAUCCUUUAAUUAAUCCUCUGCAUGCUCAACUCUUGUUUUCAUAGCAUAAAUGUUUAUAAAAUUUUGGAAAUAUUUGUCUUGAAUUAUAGCACUAUGAAUUGGAAAUGGAGUGAAUUUAGUGAGACUGUGCAUUGGAUGUGCAGUUAUACUCGUUCUAUAUUUAUUAGUUAGGGCAUGCCGUGUCAUUAAUGCUCUGCUUUGUAGAUUUAGGAGAAAAUUUCUUUCUUCAUUUUAUGUAUCAAAAAUUAAAAUGUUUUUUUUUUAAUUACAUAUCUAAUUGGUUUUCAAUUUAAGUAAUUUUAAAUGUUUGAUUUGAGCAAGUAUUUGGUUUAUCAUAUUUUGAUUUUUUACAUAUCUUGGCUUUUGGUUUUUCUUAUGCGGUUAUGCCAAUUUGAGUGUUAUUGUUCUGGCUUUUGGAGAUAUGGACUGCUUGUUGAGCAAUAAAUAAUAAAUUUAGUGAAUUUCAUAUUCAACUAUAAGCUGUUUUUCUUCUCUUUGAAGAGUGCAAACAGAAAAUCUGCAGCAAAAAGUUCAUUCUAAAUAUGACCAAACCAUCUUAAUCUCAGUUUACUUUCAAGUUAGCUUGUAUCUCAAUUCCGGAAUUCCAGUGUCAGCUCUUGUUUCUCCUUCUCCCGGCAUGAUUAUAUACAUAAGCAUUCCAGAAUUUUCUUAUGUUUUUUGCUUUUUAAAGGAAAUCUGUUCUGACAUUUUUGAAGAAGAUGAGAUUCAUUUCAGGAAGGCACUGGUUUGCUUUUCAUCAAUGCUUUCUCGUUAACUGAAGUGAAACAUUGCAUUCCUGUUCCUGUGUGAGUGCAAAUUAUGUGAUUUGGCUCCAAUGGAAGUUUUACAAUGGCAGAUGAACUAGAUCUGUUUUGAAUCCCAUGAAAAUGAUCUGUGAAUGAAGGUACAGACUAUCCAUUGUGUGUUUGAGUUUGAGGUUAUGCAUUAUUCUGCAAUGUUGCUGGGAACUUCUUCCUUUUCUAAAACUAUACAGAUGACAUUUGCUUGAGAAUUUAAUUAUUGAACAUAUGAACAGAGGAUUUAAAUAUUUAUUCCUGCUGCUUUUUGACAAAACACAAUUGUUUAUUCCUGCUGCUCUUUGGCAAGACUCUGGAAAAUAUACAGCUCCAAUUGAUAUAACAGCAUUUCUAAGGCCUAAUUAUGAUGAUGAGAAAUAAUAUCAUUCAUUUCUUCUAUAAAUGAAAAGAUGAAUGUAACUUGUAGCAUUUAUUUGAACGAGUAAUAAAUAAGGAUAUUUCCUCCCAAAAGGUUGAAUCCCCAACCCAAGGCCCCCCACGCCCUGGCCCGACAAAGCAUUUGGGAGAAUGUAAAUCAUGCCUCCCUUCACUUUGAGAAAUGAGACCCAUACUGCCGCUCGUGAGACGCGAUCCCUGGUCUUUCCUCCCAAACUUCACCCCUAUAACCAGUUGAGCUAUCCAUGCAGGUAGGAUUUACCUAUAUUUCACAUGUCAGAGUCAGACGUGACCAAGAUACUGAUUUCAUUCACCUGAAUCCUUUGUUAUCUAUGCAUAGUAUAUUGAGUAUGCUCCUAAUUUUUCAGCUUUUCUCAAUAUGAUUUGUGUUCUUUGUGGUAUACAUUCCAUCAAAUAUUUCUUCCUACAACAGAUGGAUGGUAUGGAUGCCCUUGCUGUGAAAUAAGCAUGCAAAUUUGCCGAGCAUGCACUAAAGAAUGGACCACUUGUGAGUACAUAUCAUCCUUUCUCAUGAAGUUAUUACAGGUAGGCAGUUUCCAUGGGGCAUAGGCCUCUUAAAAGGUAAUGGAGGUGUGCAAAGGUCGGAUGGAGAUUAGGAAAGAACCAACAAUUUGAUCAAGUAAUUCAUAUUACAAGUUGACCUGACAAACCUUCUCUAGCAUCUGUGUUUGCACAUUUUCCAGUUUUUAUAAUAAUCUAACUCAUCUAUAUGGUUUUGGGGAAAGAUGUUGCUCAGAUCUUGUCUGAACUGUAAUAUCUGAGUUCGGGGCUUCAAAACUAAGAUAUGCAUGUCUUAAAUAGUAUUGGGAUUUCUUUCCA
This is a long non-coding RNA of Ipomoea triloba (trilobed morning glory), 2354 nucleotides long. RefSeq lists it as uncharacterized. NCBI's taxonomy places the organism in Eukaryota, Viridiplantae, Streptophyta, Magnoliopsida, Solanales, Convolvulaceae. The record is from RefSeq and is a predicted model, not a curated record. The transcript has 2 exons.